UUUUUUGGGAAAGAUACUAGGCUUUUUUUAGCAGUGUCUGCAUGUAUACAUUUUAGAUCAGAUUUUUGUUAUUUCUAAAGUUUUACGCAUUUUUUUAAUAUUUCUAAUAAAAUAAAGAACUAUGCACGUGCUUUUAGAUUUCCAUGAAAGAUAAAGGAACUAGCCAAGGAUGCAUUUGAUUUGUGAUCAUCAUACAGCAAGCCAUAUUCACAUUUAUACCCAAUAAGAAACGUAAGAGUUGAACUGAUGAUUCCGAUAAAAUCCGCAACCUACUGAAUGGGUCCCAUCUUGUGAAUGGUUAAGAUAAUUUACAUCAAAUAGACGAUCAACUUUCAAAUCUACACUAGGCAUUUGAUAGGUAGCUCAAUCAAACCCCACAACUCAUAAAACUCAAAUCACAAACCAAAAUCCCUAAUUCAAAAUCAGAAUCCAUAAUCCAAUGUUGCAUCGACUAAUCCAAUCUAUAGCUAAAUAUCAAAUAAAAAAUAAAUAAAAAACGAUUCACAGAUCUAAAACGAUUUCCCAACAAAAACCCAUAAUCAGAGCUCCAAUCAAGCCAGACCGUUUGAAUCAAAAAGUGACACGCAACAAAACUCGAAGAAAUACAAUCAAACAGACAAAUAAGAUAACCUACAAACACAAUAAGAAACAAGAAUGGAUUAGAAUAAAAUCGAAUUUAAUCGAUUAAGAACUCAGAGAACUUACCUUAAAAUGCAGAGGAAUAGAAAGGCUACAGAAGGACGGGUCUCUGUUCCGCGUGACGUCCGCGUGAGAGAGUG
RNAcentral lists this unclassified non-coding RNA (779 nucleotides) under Hevea brasiliensis (rubber tree). Lineage: Eukaryota; Viridiplantae; Streptophyta; Magnoliopsida; Malpighiales; Euphorbiaceae. The record is from RNAcentral.